AGUGAACGCUGGCGGUAGGCCUAACACAUGCAAGUCGCACGGCAGCACAGUAAGUGCUUGCUCUUACGGGUGGCGAGUGGCGGACGGGUGCGGAAUACAUUGGAAUCUAUUUUUUCGUGGGGGAUAACGUAGGGAAACUUACGCUAAUACCGCAUACGAGCUACGGGUGAACGCACGGGAUGUUCGGACUUUGCCCGAUUGAAUGAGCCGAUGUCGGAUUCGCUAGGUGGCGGGGUAAAGGCCCACCAAGGCGACGAUCCGUAGCUGGUCUGAGAGGAUGAUCAGCCACACUGGAACUGAGACACGGUCCAGACUCCUACGGGAGGCAGCAGUGGGGAAUAUUGGACAAAGGGCGCAAGCCUGAUCCAGCCAUACCGCGUGGGUGAAGAAGGCCUUCGGGUUGUAAAGCCCUUUUGUUGGGAAAGAAAAGCAGCAGGUUAAUACCCCGCUGUUCUGACGGUACCCAAAGAAUAAGCACCGGCUAACUUCGUG
This 492-nucleotide ribosomal RNA is filed under the name uncultured bacterium. RNAcentral describes it as "partial 16S ribosomal RNA". It matches the Rfam family "Bacterial small subunit ribosomal RNA", at positions 29 to 507 of the family's 1533-position model. The record is from RNAcentral.